Oncorhynchus tshawytscha (Chinook salmon) is the source of this 325-nucleotide long non-coding RNA. The record is from Ensembl. NCBI's taxonomy places the organism in Eukaryota, Metazoa, Chordata, Actinopteri, Salmoniformes, Salmonidae.
AUCAUCUGUAUGUGUAAUGACCUCUGACCCCUGACCCCUGUAGGAGAUGAUAGGUCUGAUAAAACAGUCCAGGAUCCCCAUCAUCUGUAUGUGUAAUGACCUCUGACCCCUGACCCCUGUAGGAGAUGAUAGGUCUGAUAAAACAGUCCAGGAUCCCCAUCAUCUGUAUGUGUAAUGACCUCUGACCCCUGUAGGAGAUGAUAGGUCUGAUAAAACAGUCCAGGAUCCCCAUCAUCUGUAUGUGUAAUGACCUCUGACCCCUGACCCCUGUAGGAGAUGAUAGGUCUGAUAAAACAGUCCAGGAUCCCCAUCAUCUGUAUGUGUA